Molecule: ribosomal RNA, 250 nt
Filed under: uncultured prokaryote
Description: partial 16S ribosomal RNA
Rfam family: Bacterial small subunit ribosomal RNA
Source: RNAcentral
UACGUAGGGAGCGAGCGUUGUCCGGAAUUACUGGGUGUAAAGGGAGCGUAGGCGGGAUUGCAAGUCAGAUGUGAAAGGCGGGAGCUUAACUCCCGAGCUGCAUUUGAAACUGUAGUUCUUGAGUGAAGCAGAGGUAAGCGGAAUUCCUGGUGUAGCGGUGAAAUGCGUAGAUAUCAGGAGGAACACCGGUGGCGAAGGCGGCUUACUGGGCUUUUACUGACGCUGAGGCUCGAAAGCGUGGGGAGUAAAC